This 112-nucleotide ribosomal RNA is filed under the name Caerostris darwini. Lineage: Eukaryota; Metazoa; Arthropoda; Arachnida; Araneae; Araneidae. The record is from RNAcentral.
AACGGCCGUACCAUGCUGAAUAUACCGGUUCUCGUUAGACCACCGAAGUCAAGCAUCAUUGGGCGCGGUCAGUAUUUGGGUGGGUGACCACCUGGGAACACCGCGUGCCGUU